Acanthosepion pharaonis is the source of this 98-nucleotide non-coding RNA. The record is from the annotation of a GenBank genome assembly. NCBI's taxonomy places the organism in Eukaryota, Metazoa, Mollusca, Cephalopoda, Sepiida, Sepiidae.
UAGAAACACCAGUUCUCAUACGGUCACCGAAGUUAAGCAAUGUUGAGCCUAGUCAGUACCUGGAUGGUUGAUCGCUUGCUAAUACCAAGUGCUGUAAG